This 254-nucleotide ribosomal RNA is filed under the name uncultured bacterium. RNAcentral describes it as "partial 16S ribosomal RNA". It matches the Rfam family "Bacterial small subunit ribosomal RNA", at positions 524 to 776 of the family's 1533-position model. The record is from RNAcentral.
UACAGAGGGUGCGAGCGUUGUCCGGAAUCACUGGGCGUAAAGGGCGCGUAGGUGGUGGCUUAAGCGUGCGGUGAAAGCUCGGAGCUCAACUCCGAGUCGGCCGUGCGAACUGGGCUCACUGGAGCAUAGUAGAGGCAGGUGGAAUUCCGGGUGUAGCGGUGGAAUGCGUAGAGAUCCGGAAGAACACCGGUGGCGAAGGCGGCCUGCUGGGCUAUGGCUGACACUGAGGCGCGAGAGCGUGGGGAGCAAACCGG